RNAcentral lists this ribosomal RNA (289 nucleotides) under Ctenophora environmental sample. RNAcentral describes it as "partial Bacterial small subunit ribosomal RNA". It matches the Rfam family "Bacterial small subunit ribosomal RNA", at positions 485 to 773 of the family's 1533-position model. Lineage: Eukaryota; Metazoa; Ctenophora. The record is from RNAcentral.
AAGAAGCACCGGCUAACUACGUGCCAGCAGCCGCGGUAAUACGUAGGGUGCGAGCGUUGUCCGGAAUUACUGGGCGUAAAGAGCUCGUAGGCGGUCUGUCGCGUCGGCUGUGAAAACCCGAGGCUCAACCUCGGGCCUGCAGUCGAUACGGGCAAACUAGAGUACUGCAGGGGAGACUGGAAUUCCUGGUGUAGCGGUGAAAUGCGCAGAUAUCAGGAGGAACACCGAUGGCGAAGGCAGGUCUCUGGGCAGUAACUGACGCUGAGGAGCGAAAGCAUGGGUAGCGAAC